Molecule: ribosomal RNA, 465 nt
Filed under: uncultured bacterium
Lineage: Bacteria
Description: bacterial SSU rRNA
Rfam family: Bacterial small subunit ribosomal RNA
Source: RNAcentral
CCUACGGGGCGCAGCAGUAGGGUAUCUUCGGCAAUGGACGAAAGUCUGACCGAGCAACGCCGCGUGAGUGAAGAAGGUUUUCGGAUCGUAAAACUCUGUUGUUAGAGAAGAACAAGUAAGAGAGUAACUGCUCUUACCUUGACGGUAUCUAACCAGAAAGCCACGGCUAACUACGUGCAAGCAGCCGCGGUAAUACGUAGGUGGCAAGCGUUGUCCGGAUUUAUUGGGCGUAAAGCGAGCGCAGCCGGUCUUUUAAGUCUGAUGUGAAAGCCCUCGGCUCAACCGAGGAAGGUCAUUGGAAACUGGAGGACUUGAGUGCAGAAGAGGAGAGUGGAAUUCCAUGUGUAGCGGUGAAAUGCGUAGAUAUAUGGAGGAACACCAGUGGCGAAGGCGACUCUCUGGUCUGUAACUGACGCUGAGGUUCGAAAGCGUGGGGAGCAAACAGGAUUAGAUACCCCCGUAGUC